This 477-nucleotide ribosomal RNA is filed under the name uncultured bacterium. RNAcentral's name for it is "partial 16S ribosomal RNA". It matches the Rfam family "Bacterial small subunit ribosomal RNA", at positions 28 to 507 of the family's 1533-position model. The record is from RNAcentral.
GAUGAACGCCGGCGGCGUGCCUAACACAUGCAAGUCGAACGAAGCACCUUACCUGAUUCUUCGGAUGAAAGUUUGGUGACUGAGUGGCGGACGGGUGAGUAACGCGUGGGUAACCUGCCCUGUACAGGGGGAUAACAGCUGGAAACGGCUGCUAAUACCGCAUAAGCGCACGAGGAGACAUCUCCUUGUGUGAAAAACUCCGGUGGUACAGGAUGGGCCCGCGUCUGAUUAGCUGGUUGGCAGGGUAACGGCCUACCAAGGCAACGAUCAGUAGCCGGUCUGAGAGGAUGAACGGCCACAUUGGAACUGAGACACGGUCCAAACUCCUACGGGAGGCAGCAGUGGGGAAUAUUGCACAAUGGGGGAAACCCUGAUGCAGCAACGCCGCGUGAGUGAAGAAGUAUUUCGGUAUGUAAAGCUCUAUCAGCAGGGAAGAUAAUGACGGUACCUGACUAAGAAGCUCCGGCUAAAUACGUG